UGACAUCAUCUAUGACAGUAAUGUACCCAGCCAUGACAGAGUCUGAUGAGCUGCUGCCUCAGUAAAUCAGCUGCUGAAUGCAUCAAGAUA
Sander lucioperca (pikeperch) is the source of this 90-nucleotide long non-coding RNA. RefSeq lists it as uncharacterized. The record is from RefSeq and is a predicted model, not a curated record. The transcript is spliced from 2 exons. Lineage: Eukaryota; Metazoa; Chordata; Actinopteri; Perciformes; Percidae.